Long non-coding RNA from Coregonus clupeaformis (lake whitefish), 320 nucleotides. RefSeq lists it as uncharacterized. The record is from RefSeq and is a predicted model, not a curated record. The transcript is spliced from 3 exons. Lineage: Eukaryota; Metazoa; Chordata; Actinopteri; Salmoniformes; Salmonidae.
UGUCAGUUUGUCCACUAGAGGGCGACGCACUACUAGAGACCAAUAGGGAGGAUUCUCCAUGGGAUGGGAUGGGCUGCUGAAAACCAGGAAACUGGAGCGCUCUACUAUCAGGCUUCAUUACUUUCCAGUCGGCUGUCUGCACCUGUAGUGUCUAAAAAUGGACCGGUUCAGGGAGGUAUCUGCCUCUGAGAAGGAAAGGAAGCCAGCAUGGGAGGAGAGUGAAGAGGCAUCCAGCACCUCUUCUGGAAUUUGGACCCUGUCUGAUGAGGAGUGUCGUGAUCUGGAGACUGAGAUCUCUUGGCCGGAGGAGAAGCUGAGGU